Molecule: long non-coding RNA, 1129 nt
Organism: Antechinus flavipes (yellow-footed antechinus)
Lineage: Eukaryota; Metazoa; Chordata; Mammalia; Dasyuromorphia; Dasyuridae
Exons: 4
Source: RefSeq, a predicted model, not a curated record
GCUUCCAGAGCCACUUCCCGACUCCAGCUCUCGGGCGCAGCCCGGGAAAAGGGGGCGUGGUCAGACGGGAAGAAGAGUCGCUCCGGGCCCGCCCCCUCUCCUCAGGUAACCCUGGAGGGGGGGGGCAGACACCUGGCCAGCCUCCCCCUGCCUUCCGUGCUGUCUCGGCUAUCGGGGCCACCUGGGCCUCCCUUUGGGGAAAAACAAAAAACGAAAUCCCGGACCUCUCCCAGGUCCCCUCUAGGCGGGGUGGGGCGGAGCUCUUGCCCUCAGCCGAGACGCCUGGGGCCGCUUCGGCCCCACCGCCUCCCGGGCUCACUCGAGGGCGCGCGCAGUGGCUUCUGGGGUCAUGGCACGUGGACUGGGCUGGCACGGGGAUUGCGGGGAUGGAGGUGCGACAGCUCCGACGUCUGAGUGAAGCCCCUGGAAAUCACGGCCUGGCAAAGCGACCCUAACGCCCCGGGCCCCCUUUCCCACGGCCUCGGAGCCGAGCUGCUGCUGAGAGAUGAGCAAGCAAAGCGGGUGGCUCCAGGAAAAGGCCUGAGCCUGCACAAGGCCAGCGAAGGCCGCUGUUAGGCCGACUGCAGUGGCCCGGACAAGGAUCUUGGUGGCGUUUGUGGAGACUGAUGGACGGCCUCACGUCUUCAUGUCCUGCCAGUGCCACUUACUAGGAGCAAGAAACUUUGAAGUUGACGUUCGUGGUGUCCGAUUCUCCGUGACCUUAUUUGGACUUUUCUUGGGAGAGAUUCUCAAGUGAUUGGUCAUUUCCUUCUCUGGCUUGUUUUCCAGAUGAGGAAACUGAGCUCCCCCCCAAGGAACGGGAAGACGCUGCCAGUGGAAGGGGCCGAGCUUCACCAAAACUCAUCGAAGCCCCGUGGCAGGACCAAAGUUAGACUGGCUGGGGAUGGCGCAAGAGGCAGUGGAUGACCUUUGGAGCAGAUUAUUGGAGCCAUAGCUGAAAGGUGACCUCCGACAGAGGAAGAACAGACCUUAAAGGCCAACACCCUCACUUUAUGUAGCAGGGAAGUGAGUCCUAGGGGAAUUACCUGACUCAAAAGCCAGGGUUUUGUGCAAUUAUUUUAAAUUUCUAGCAAUUUAGCAACAAUUAAACAAGAGCAAUAAGAUACUA